This is a long non-coding RNA of Micropterus salmoides (largemouth bass), 440 nucleotides long. RefSeq lists it as uncharacterized. NCBI's taxonomy places the organism in Eukaryota, Metazoa, Chordata, Actinopteri, Centrarchiformes, Centrarchidae. The transcript is spliced from 4 exons. The record is from RefSeq and is a predicted model, not a curated record.
GAGCCCUGCGAGCAGAUUUGUGAUCAGGACACAGGAGAAUGCAGCUGUCAUGAGGGUUAUUCCCCCGAUCCUGUCCACAAACACCUCUGUGUUCGCAGCGACUGGGGUCGAAAUGAAGGUCCUUGGCCAUACGCUAACUUGGAGAAAGGCUAUGACCUAGUUACAGGAGAGCAGGCCCCAGAGAGGAUCUUCAGAUCAUUCUACAGUCUCGGGCAAGGGUUGUGGCUGCCAGUCAGCAAGAGCUUUGUGGUGCCACCAGUGGAACUAUCAAUCAACCCCAUCGCCAGCUGUAAGACAGACGUGUUGGUUACUGAAGACCCAGGGGAGGUCAGGUCAGUCUGAUUCAGCUCAAAGCUCCACAUUUGAAAAACUGUGCAAAGCACUUUCCCUGCUGUCCUCUGCUGUCCUGUCUGGUCUAUACAAUUUUUUUUUUGGAGGGU